UACGUAGGGCGCAAGCGUUGUCCGGAAUUAUUGGGCGUAAAGAGCUCGUAGGUGGCUGGUCGCGUCUGCCGUGAAAGCCCGUGGCUUAACUACGGGUCUGCGGUGGAUACGGGCCGGCUUGAGGUAGGUAGGGGCAAGCGGAAUUCCUGGUGUAGCGGUGAAAUGCGCAGAUAUCAGGAGGAACACCGGUGGCGAAGGCGGAUCUCUGGGCCAUUACUGACGCUGAGGAGCGAAAGCGUGGGGAGCGAACAGG
RNAcentral lists this ribosomal RNA (253 nucleotides) under uncultured bacterium. RNAcentral describes it as "partial 16S ribosomal RNA". It matches the Rfam family "Bacterial small subunit ribosomal RNA", at positions 524 to 776 of the family's 1533-position model. The record is from RNAcentral.